CCAGAGGUGAAAACCGCAUUCCGUACGGUUACACUUCUCAGGCAGCUGUGUUGUUUUGUUUACCUUUUUGAAAAUGUGUGAAUAUUGAAUAAAAGGUUUUAAAACAAUUAAUGCAAAAUGGAUGCAUGCAGCAGAUUGCUUUUUUGUAAUUGGCGCCUCUUGCAUGCUCUGAGGAGGAGGACAAUCAACGAAAUAAGCGCUGACAACAUUGAUUAAACACGUAUCUGCAGGAAAGAAACCAGGACGGCCGUUGUCUAUACAGUAUUAUAAAUCAUAUAAAUAUGUGUACAUUUAUGGAAACCCAUGAAAUGAUACCCUUUGCAUAUUCCGCAGAUUGAAAAAUAUGACAGAGAAUUUGCAUAUGGCUGGGAAUAACAUCUGCAGACUUCUUUGAUUGGUGGAGCAGCAAAGCCGUUCCAAGGAAUAUUUGCGGACGUUGCAAAGUUGUAAAACGGCGCCUCCAAGCACCUAUUCAAAAUUGGAUAGUUUUGAGUCCAAAUCGCCGCCUUCGCCCCCUGGCACGACCCUGAGGAGCAGUACUUGGUCCCAAAAGGAAAACAAC
Molecule: long non-coding RNA, 562 nt
Filed under: Drosophila guanche
Lineage: Eukaryota; Metazoa; Arthropoda; Insecta; Diptera; Drosophilidae
Source: RNAcentral